CAAAAGCAUACGUCCACGUUCACGUGCGUGUUUUUCUCUCUCCAUACGUUUACUUAUUUAUAUUAUAUAUAGAUAUUCAUAGUAUACGUAAAAGUUCAUGCGUACACUGUUACGGUUGCGCAGGUACCUCUUGGCCGGGUGGCUAAAUUGUUUAGAGAUCAACAGAAAGAAACCACCUGCGGUGAAUCUGGAGCCAUGUCUGGACGUGAACAAGAAAUCUUAGGGUCUCUGCUUCUUCUGCACGAACCUAAGUACACGCUGCACCUUUCGCGAGAAAAAAAGGAGGGAUGCGUCGACUGGCGCCAUGGAUUUGUGCAUUGUGGGUGCUGUGGUGGAUACGUGUAGCUGAAGAGAAACGCCGUAAGUCUGUGGGCUGCGGCGAAGUGUUACCCCCUUUCUGGCGCCAAAAACAGGGCGACCUACUCUACUGCGAUGGGCAUGCUUCAAGCAUGCAUACGAGAGACAAGGCGAAGGGUGAUGUGGGGAAGCUGUUAUUGAGCGGGGGGUAUGGACAUGGCUUUUUCUUCCUGCUGUAGCUGGGCUGCCUCUUGGCGAUGAGCAGAGGUGUGUCAGUCGAAUCGAGGUUCCAGGAUGCCAACAGAGCGGCGUAAAGCUUUUGACUUCGAAAAAAGGUGAAAGCACACAUUUGUGUGCAGUUGUGAGUGUGCCGUUGCCUGCAGCCAAGGCGAUGCAACACCAUCGAUUUUCUCAUGUGCGGCUCUGAGGGGGGCUUUGCGUUGAUUCGCUCUUCUUUGCAUCGAACGUGUGACUCUCUCUUCUUCAGAAAGUGAGCCUUUGUCAGGAAUGGUGGUGGCCUGGCCCCGCGUCGGCCCUCGAGCGCUCUUGUUUGAUAUGAACUGGCC
RNAcentral lists this long non-coding RNA (863 nucleotides) under Toxoplasma gondii VEG. Lineage: Eukaryota; Apicomplexa; Conoidasida; Eucoccidiorida; Sarcocystidae. The record is from RNAcentral.